AAAACACAGAGAAAUCAUCUUUGCAGUAUUUUAGCUGGUAAUGGUAAUUCAAUUGUUCGAUUCAAUAUCAUCAGUGAACCAUUGAGAGAGGAAAUGAAUGUUAAAGACUGUGUUGAAGUAGGCUAUGCUGAUUUAAAUUUGAGGAAACAAAUAUUGUUUGAGAGUAAAGAUAGAAUUUCACUGCCAGCUAUGAGUUCUGAUAAUAAAGAGAUAAUUGGUACUUUAGAGGUGACAUUACUUGGUUUAGAUGCUAUUCGAGAAAAUUUGGCCCAGUAUGUAUCAAUCAAUAGCUCAUCAUCAUGAACUACAGAUAGGCUAUUGCAUAUCAAACAA
Molecule: long non-coding RNA, 333 nt
Organism: Chelonus insularis
Lineage: Eukaryota; Metazoa; Arthropoda; Insecta; Hymenoptera; Braconidae
Exons: 3
Source: RefSeq, a predicted model, not a curated record